This is a non-coding RNA of Lolium perenne, 4225 nucleotides long. NCBI's taxonomy places the organism in Eukaryota, Viridiplantae, Streptophyta, Magnoliopsida, Poales, Poaceae. The record is from RefSeq and is a predicted model, not a curated record.
AGGCUGCUGGUGGGCCCCACCAUCGUUCGGGCCCGCCUGUCGGUGACUGUGGCUGGGAUUGGUUUCGGUCAAGCGUGGUUGGGCAGCCUGCGGGUGAGACAAAAAGGCCAUCUUCCCCAAUCCCCUCCCGACAUUCUCCCCCAAUCCCAAACCCUAUCCCUAUCCCAAUCCCCACAGCCUCUACCUCCCUAGCUCCCGCUCCUGGCCGCCGCCGCCUCCUCCCCAACUCCCGCUCCCCACCGCUGGUCUCCUCUCAGGCGAGCCGCCGUCAGCCGCCACCCAAUCCCAGCAUGCGAGCUCCUCCCCAAUCCCCUUCCUACCCGUACCGCCGCCACGGUCGCUCGCCUCGUACUACCACCAGCAGCGAAAGGAGAAGGUGCAGGAGAACUGUGAGGAGGACGAGGAGGGAGGGGCGGAGCAGCUGGAGGUCCAAUGGCGGCGGCGGUCGGACGACAGCCGGGCCUCUCAUGGCUGGACGAGGUAGCGAUGUGCGGAGCGAAGCAGCGGGAGCUCGGACGGUGGCAGCGGUCGGACGGUGGCGGCGGUCGGACGGCAGUGGGUCCUGUCAUGGAUGGACGAGCUCUCUGCCAAGCCAUGGACUUGCUGCUGCCAACCCUCACCGGCCUCCUCCCUCCUCUCUCUGCACCCUCUUGAGCUUUCCCUUUUUAUUUUGAUGUAUGUAUACUCCUGGUCAUGUUGAAGAUCGAGGGUUUGUAUUGCUUCUAGGCCAAGAAACUGAGAGGGGCUUUCUUCUUCGAGUCGCCGGAACCAAACGACAACGUGCUGCAGACUUUCUGGUCUGCUAUGUGUUCUUCACUAAAUCCUCCAAAUCCUACAGGUAGCGGCUGCUCUAACCAGCUGGUCUACUGCAGGUUGGAGUAGGUUAUAUCAUGUAGUCAUGGUAGGUGCUCUUUUUUAUUUUGCCCCAGAAAGAAGAGGGCCAGCGACACCUUUAAGGGCAGCAGCCAACAUUGAGAACGACAGGGUGCCAGUGGGGGUUAAUCUCGGGAGAAGUUGCUGCGAGGUACAUCACAUGCUCGACAUGGUGUAGGGUGAGUGGACGUCCAAAAACUAAGCGGAAGUUGCUUGCUUAAUGCGUAGUCGCAUUGAGUGUUAGUUAUACAAGAGAAAUCAAAUGAAUAUGUUUAGUUUCUAAACCUUUAUUCAUUUUUAAUAGAAUUGCUUGCCUAGGCUCUGAUAUAUUUCUUUACAUGAAUCGGCACUAUGCUCUUAUGCUUUUAGUUAUACAUAUAUUUUUUAGUUGGUCAGGUUUUCAAGUUUCAACCAUUCUUACUUUGAAAUGAUUCUGUAGUUAGUUAUAAAUAUAGAAAAUUUGAUGCCUGGGAUACAUAUUUUUCAUGGUAUAUUAUGCCAGUUAAGGGAUCUCUUAUUUCUUUAGGUCUGCUACAUAAUUAUCUGGAGAUUUACUUUCUUCCGGUGCCUGCUUUUGAUCACAGGAAACUAAAAAAAGACAAAAUAUACUUCACAUGCAGCAUCUUAUCCUAUGUGAAGUUAUCUUGCAGACAUCGUUAAAUAUUUUUCUUCACUUUUCUGUUUAGCUAAAUAACCAAUUAAAUGAUUUAAUAUAUUUUUUCUUUUUUUAAAUUGGGUAAAGAAAGUAUGUUGCACUUUCUUAUAGUCUUUUGGCUGGCACUGCAAUUUUGUUUGUCUUCUAGAGUGACAUAGAACAUGAUAUGCUUCUUUUACUGUACAUGCUAUCUAUAUUUUGUACCUUUAAUACCCUCUCUUUUUAUUGAUACUCAGAUGGUUCAGCUUCAAAAGCACCAAAAAAUUAUGUUAAUACAUGGGUGAGUGGAGAUGCUGCAUGUAAUACUCACUUUCCCAUCUUUAUACAAUGUUGUACCUACAGCAACUGUCAUUUUACUCUCCCUCUUAGAAGGACUUCUCUGUAUUUUGUCAAGCCUUCCGGCCUUAUAUGGUGAUAUUUUUUUCCGGAACCACCUCUUAUGUCUUGCCUACGUUUGAAGUUUUGGAGUUCUUAAAUUCUUGAUGAAGAGGAUUUUGGAGGUACGUGCCACCGGUGCUCAGGGCGCUUAAUUAACUGCAAUAGCAGACCAUGGAUUAUUAAUGCUGCAGCAGCAGAACAUGGAUUAUUAAUGAUGAACCGUCUGUCUUUGGAAGCGGCUAUUCAUUGGAGAGGGUAUUGUUCCUUUAUGGUCAUAAGACAGACUUCUCUUUGGAAGCGGAAAUGGAAGCGGCACAUGAGGCGUGCUCCUGCCCUUGCAAGUGCUCCACGAAGCCGGUUGUGCAGCGAUGGCAAGAGUGAGACUGGUUCGUUCACAGGCCAAGAGGACCCUGUUCGCCGAAUCAUCGCCUGGACAUGGGUUGGGAGCCGCGCUUGAGUUUUUUACGACUUAUUCGUCUUCUAUGUUAGAGAAGGAGGCGGCAUACAUAGGGUAUGGAGGCGGAGGAGGAGCGGACCAUUGCCAUCGUCCUCACAGCAGGUGGAGUGCGGGCUGCAGGGAGGAUCUUCAGAGGCACUCGUUCUGCUACUCUCCACUCUCCGGCGCUGAUAAGGAGGCUCUCGUGCAGCUCCAGGACCAAUGCCCACAACCUUGGAUUCAUAAGUUUUACGGAUUGCAUUGGACUGCAUUCUCUGAUUAAAUUAGGUUAGAUGGUUUUCUAUUCGCUCAUAAGGAGGCUAUUUCUCAAAUCAAUAUAGCAAGAGAGAUAAUCUGCUAUGAUGGUAACUUAACUGUAUGUCAUAAGCAAGCUAUUUUACAAAAUUAGCAUUGCUUUUUUUAGAUUCUUGGAUUCUAUGAAUGAGAUUGUGAACUUGGUGUUCCAUUAUCAAUGACAUGUCUGAGCCUGAGAGUAGGCUUUGCCAUGCAUCCUUAUUAUGGGAAAUCAGGUUCUAAUAAAAAAAAUGGUAUCUUUGUAUUUUUCUUCACAAUUUUUCAUGUUGGUGAUAAUCGGCUCUCAUGCCUUUUCUUCUCCUGUCUGUUCACAGGAAGGCUAAUUGAUGUUACUUUUUUUUCUUCAUACAAGCUCCUUCCGUUGGUAUUGUUAAAUGUUACAUAUCACUAAAUAUUGCUUUGUUGAUAUGUGUCUUAUGUCCGGGCCAGAAAUUGUGUAUACAUGCUUAUGCUUACUUGGUGUGGUUUAUUGUGCAGUAUUGAGUCCAGAAAAUCCAUGCUGUGCACCUAUCUCAUGAUGUUGGCAGCCUGUUAGGCAGGUACGAAUGUUGGUUAUGUGGCUCGACUCGCACGCAACCUAUGCACGUACGCAACUAUAGCCUAUGCAGGUGAGUCAUGCAAAGAUAAUUCAAUUUUGUGAUUCUGGUCAUAUGCCUCAUGCAUGGUUACUGAUGCCCUUCCUCUCUUUCUCCUCGAAGCAUAUCAAUUUCUAAUAUUUUGAAUGCUUUGUUUUAAGACCUGAACAUGAGGUUAUUGCACUGCAAUUCAAACGGAUUUUGUUCAGAGUUUUACAAUCGAAAGUUUGGAUUAGCCUUCUUCCACAGUUUUUUACAUUGAGAUUAUAAUCGUAGGAGAGGGUGUCGGGAUGCGCUUUUCGCCAGAGCAUCGGCCUGAAAAUUAGGCCUUUAUCUCCCAUCUACUCUUAGAUAGAGAUAGAGAAAGACCAUUCGCAGAGUUGCACUUACCUUUUUAUGAUGCCCAAAUUUAUGCUUAGAAAGAGAUACACAGGGCUGAUAUUGUUUCGACAACUUAUGAUGUCCUCAAGGAAGAUCUGGCACGUGAUUCUGAUAGACAUGAUGGAGAUCGCCGUUUUUGGAGAUUUCAGAAGAUGUAACAUUUAAUUUUCUCACAAAGUUUGGCCAUACAUUAUAUCAACUGAAUAUGUUACUAUAAAAGCUGACUAUAUAUGGCAUUCGUUCAGUAAAUAUGUGUCCUUAAUUGAAGGAGUGUUUUCGAUUUUAUUGUAGAGGUUCUGUCGCCCCCCUCCCCCACAGAUGGCGGGCAAGGUUGUUACUCUAUUUGAGCCGAAGGAUGUUUACACAUUCAUAAUUGCUUUUUAUGUCCUAUGGUUGCUCGAAAGAGGAGGGAUGCUCAUACUUUUAUCUUUAAGAGUGCUCUUUAUUCUGUUAUGGUGAGUUUUGAUUACGGGGUUUAGAAUUGGCUAUCCCAAAUAGCCAAUUGGUGUGACCUCUUAUAGCAAAUGGACCAUCACCACCAAAUGGUUUGUUUGCGGGAGUUAAAUAUUUGUUGUAGUUUUAAUCGAUCUACAGUUUCCAUUCUUAUUUUCU